Molecule: ribosomal RNA, 484 nt
Filed under: uncultured bacterium
Lineage: Bacteria
Description: partial 16S ribosomal RNA
Rfam family: Bacterial small subunit ribosomal RNA
Source: RNAcentral
AUUGAACGCUGGCGGCAUGCUUUACACAUGCAAGUCGAACGGCAGCGCGGGCUUCGGCCUGGCGGCGAGUGGAGAACGGGUGAGUAAUACAUCGGAACGUGCCCAGUAGUGGGGGAUAGCUCGGCGAAAGCCGGAUUAAUACCGCAUACGACCUGAGGGUGAAAGCGGGGGAUCUUCGGACCUCGCGCUAUUGGAGCGGCCGAUGGCAGAUUAGCUAGUUGGUGGGGUAAAGGCCUACCAAGGCGACGAUCUGUAGCUGGUCUGAGAGGACGACCAGCCACACUGGGACUGAGACACGGCCCAGACUCCUACGGGAGGCAGCAGUGGGGAAUUUUGGACAAUGGGCGAAAGCCUGAUCCAGCAAUGCCGCGUGUGUGAUGAAGGCCUUCGGGUUGUAAAGCACUUUUGGCGGGAACGAAAAGGACUGUGCCAAUACCACGGUUCGAUGACGGUACCCGCAGAAUAAGCACCGGCUAACUACGUG